Long non-coding RNA from Herpailurus yagouaroundi (jaguarundi), 1162 nucleotides. RefSeq lists it as uncharacterized. The record is from RefSeq and is a predicted model, not a curated record. The transcript is spliced from 3 exons. NCBI's taxonomy places the organism in Eukaryota, Metazoa, Chordata, Mammalia, Carnivora, Felidae.
CUGGAUGAAGUUGAGAAGGCAGUUUUUUUAAGGCGAAGGUGUAAGCUCUUGGCAGUGGUGGAUGCAGAGUGGUCGGGACAAGAAUGCUGAGCAGACCCUUAGUCCAACACCUUGGGGCCUGUGUUCACUUAGUGAGUGGAAGGAGAAGGAGGAGCCAAAGACAGAGACAGAAUAUCCGCUCCCUGGAGGCAGGCCCCAGCCCUGGACUGUUCACUUUUGAAUCCCCAGAGCCCAGCACCGCACCUGCCACUUUGAAGUGUGUCCUGUGAUGGAGAAACCUUAGCUAUACCUCAUCGUUUUCCUUGGAGAGCCUUGGUUUUCUUCUGAUCUUCGGGCUGCUCAUCUUGGACACUUGGUCCCGUGCAGAUCCCCACACCAGGUUGUGCCCUGCACCACUUGGCACCUGGCCUGAAACCCAGGGCUUCCUGAAUACCCUGAACACCAAACCCAAGAGCUCCAGGGGAGCCGCCACCGCCAGAGCCAGCAAGACCUCCUCCAGGCCACCCACCCCCAGCCGAGAAGCAGGCUCAGCUUCAGGGGGUGAGCACCUGGCGCCAGCAAAACCGGGGCCCUUGGAAUCAUAGCAGCACCAUCACCGCGGUGGGCCAGAGGCAGGGGAGAAUAUCCAAGGCACCAAAUUCAACGUCCUUCCUUAAAUUUCCAUUCUGUUUCACUCAACCGGGGUACAUAUUGUUAAAGCAAAAGAGGAUGAGAAGGAAACAUGGGUACAGCUAAAAUUAUGCACGCUUUUGUUUUAAGUAAAUGCCUUCCUCCGGAACAGUGGUAUUUGCCAUCAUCUCUCCCCCCACCCCCAUCCCCGCCCCCUGUCCCGCUUGCUUUUCUCCUUAGUCUAAUGUCUUUGCUCUUCACACUUCCUAAGUCUCCAGAAUUCCUGUUACUUGGACGUGAGCCGGGAAACUCCCCCAAAGGGUGCGGUUUGCCUCUGCAGCUGACUCACGUCCCUCCUGCUGCUACCUCGUCUUUUCGAUGCCAUUUUCUCCUUGCCAUGAAUGCGGCUCUGUCUGUGAGCUGCUUCUCUUCAAGCUGGAUCCCGGGUCUUAUUUUUGCAGUGACCCCAGAUUAUUAGGCUAACUCUAAAUAUCUUGGUGGUGAAUCGGCUGUGAAUGCUAUCAAUUUAAUAUCAAACAACAGCUUAAUCAAA